GGGUAGGAUUAGGUUUGGCAUUAGGGUUAGGAUUAAGGUUGUAAAGAAGGUUAUGGAGAAGGAGAGGAUAGAAAAAAAGGAAAAUAAAAAGAGGAAAUAGAUUGGAGGAUUGGAUCAGGAAAACAAAAAGGUGAAGCUAAAAAACUUAUCUGGAACUAGUCGUUUUGUGGAAGAGAAAGGAGUAGAGAGAGAAACACGAUAGUGUCGGUUCAUACAUCAGUGAAGUCUUUGUUAUUGAGGUCUCUUAAGAUCCAAACAUCGGUAUGAUGCAAGACAUCGGUAGUGAAGGGGAUCAGAAAGAAGCAUCAAACCGGCUUGGCCCAAGAUAUCGGCAUGCGAAGGGGACGCCCGAACAAGCAUAAGGGGAAGGAGAUCUAGGAAGAGGCAAUUGACCAAGGGAAGAUGCAGGGGGAAGGGGGGAAGGAAAUGGGAUCAAGAGAGAAGCAGAUGACUUGGGGUAAGUGGGAAGGAGAAGAGGAGGAAGGGGAUAGGGAAAGAGAUGGU
RNAcentral lists this long non-coding RNA (504 nucleotides) under Elaeis guineensis (African oil palm). RNAcentral's name for it is "long non-coding RNA (EGUI_LNC018215)". Lineage: Eukaryota; Viridiplantae; Streptophyta; Magnoliopsida; Arecales; Arecaceae. The record is from RNAcentral.